Molecule: long non-coding RNA, 855 nt
Filed under: Olea europaea subsp. europaea
Lineage: Eukaryota; Viridiplantae; Streptophyta; Magnoliopsida; Lamiales; Oleaceae
Source: RNAcentral
CCUUCAUCUUCUAUAUAUAGAACCCCUUGAACGUGUAUUUGUAAUUCCAAUUCAUUCCAUAAUUCCAUAUUAUUUAUUUCAUGUCAAGUUACAUAAAAUAUUUUGUAUAAGUUAUUAUAUUUUGCAUCCAAGUCAUGUUUAUGAUAAAGAGGGAAUUUCGUUCGAGUUCGUUGAUUGAAGUCAUUUGGAGUGCUCCUAUGGCUUGAUGUGAUCGUUGUAUCUUGGGAGAUGGUUGUCGAAAAAUCGUUAGCACCGAUGCGGGACAAAUUCAUCUCAAGGAAAAAGUGUCAAACAAUUGUCUCGGCCAAUCGCAUCACAUGCAUCUAAUUUUCCUUAUUUCUGAUUUCAUUCUUCAUAUUUGAUUUUAGAAAUUAACUAAUACUCUUUGAUUUCAUGUGAGGUUGAAAUUCAAGAGUGGAAAUGGAUGAAUCCAUAUUCAUGUGUUCGGAAUCAGAUUCUGUAAUUAUUAUUUAUCUUCUCAAAUUCGGAUUCAGAAGUCAAAACUUUAAUUUGAAUUCGUUAAUGUAUAAGGUACUUUUUGUGAAUUUAAUAGCACGUUUAUCGUGUAAUAUUCCCAACAAUAAAUUCCUUAAAAAGUCAAUUAAACAUUUCUUUUACAAUGUUUUGAGUAUUCACCUUGUUAUCCAUAGGACCACCCAAUAAAAUUCAAUUUUCUGACCAACCACCCUCUAAAUUUUUCUCCUACUCUGUUACAUCAUCAUUAAAUAUAAAAUAAAAAAUAAAAAAAAUAAAAAAAAAAACCCUAGCAGAAGUCCCUACUUAUUUAUCUAAAUUUAUACUGGAAGAGGUAACUCUACCGGAAAUAAUCUGAUCGGAAUCAGUGUUAUCUGCAAG